AUGCUGUGAUAGGGAAAUUUUCUUAGCAACUCCUCAAACCUUUCCCAAGAGUCAUACAAAGAUUCACCAUCCAGCUGAUAAAAAUUAUUAAUCUUCUCUCUCAAUUU
This is a small nucleolar RNA of Humulus lupulus (European hop), 107 nucleotides long. The record is from RefSeq and is a predicted model, not a curated record. NCBI's taxonomy places the organism in Eukaryota, Viridiplantae, Streptophyta, Magnoliopsida, Rosales, Cannabaceae.